This 954-nucleotide long non-coding RNA is filed under the name Monodelphis domestica (gray short-tailed opossum). RNAcentral describes it as "lncRNA (ENSMODG00000046468.1)". Lineage: Eukaryota; Metazoa; Chordata; Mammalia; Didelphimorphia; Didelphidae. The record is from RNAcentral.
GACAGUUUUUUUUUUUUAAUUUAAAUAAUUCUCUGUGGCUCUGUCUCUGUCUCUGUCUGUCUGUUACUCUCUCCUCUUUCCAUUCUCAGAACAUUAAAAGUCCCGCCGGUUGUAGAAAGGACUAUAUUUGAGAUCUGCGUUUUGUUUUUUUUUUGUUUGUUUGUUUGUUUUUUUGUCGAAAGGGAGGGGGAGAUCCAUGGUUUUGCUAAUAACUGACCCGGGAAAGGGUCGGAGGAAGGAGAAACUACUUCAUUUCGUAAUUGUGACUUUCUUUUGAUAAAGUUAAAGGGAGAAGAAAAUCAACUGUAUUCAUCCCCAUUCUGGUUUGACUGCUUCCUGGAAUUCCUCACAACUGUCAUACUUUCGUGCCAGGGUCUGGAAAGCCACCCCACUUUGUGACAACAAGGCAUGUGUCAAACAAUUACAGGAGGAGGGGCAAGGUAGCUCUACUCAAUGGCAAAGUAUCCCCUCCCUUCUCCGUUCAUUCCAGGGCUAUCGGGACUUUGUGUGUGAGUACGGGUGUCUGUUCUCGUGUGUUUACGUGUAUGAUGUGUGUGUGUGUGCCUUUCCUUUGGGGCCAACUUCCAGUCUCCUUUAUGUGUUGAAGGCAGCUACCACCCUCCCUGAAAACUACCCAUCUGCUCUUCAUGGCUUCUUCACAAAUGUUCACUUAAACGGAGAUGAGAAGACGUCCCAAGAAAACCUUCGAGAUCUUCUAAGACUAAGUCAAUUACUACAUUUGCGUAGCUAUAGAGAACUGCAAGUACCUGUGCCUGCAAUACAUGUAUGCACAAUGUAUGCACUCCCUAGCCCGUGGAGGAAAUAAUCUUCGAAAAGGAAAACAAACAAACGAAAUCGUAGCUAAACUUCACCAGCUGACGCAGAGUUUUAUCAGAAAAGAGCAAUCACACCUCAAGGCUCAAUUGAAAAAUAAAAUAAAACCAUCAGCAUACA